AGAUGGUUUUAACUAUUAAAAAUGUACUUUUAAACAACGAAUAUGUCAACCUACGUCAAAAGUGUGAUGUGAUUUUAUGUUGUAUAUUAGACAUUUAUAAUAUAUAUUAAAAAUCGUUCUAUAAUUUUUAUACUCAAUUUUACCACAAUUAAUUAUAAUGUUUAUAACGAAUUUUUUUUCAAAAAAGAAUAAUGAUAAUAUUUAAGUUUUCAAUUUGAUGAGAUUUGUACGUUAAUAAAUGGGAAAUCAGGAAAAGCCGGUCAUAAAUAAACGACAGCAAUCGAUGAAUUCAAAUCUGUUUUCAGAAUGCGUAUUGGACCAAUAGAAUGAUCGGUGGAUAUUCGGUAUUGUAUUAGAAGUAAAUAUGAUGACAUUAUUAUGUUACGAGCGUGACAGAUCGUGACAAAAAAUCACCAAUUCCAAUCUACAUAGAUUAAUGAUUAGUAGUACAUAUUAUUGUUAUUGUUAUCUUAUAGCCGAUAGCAGAUUAUGUAUUUAUGUGAAGGUGGUAAAUUAAAUGGCACAGUUUUGAAAUGGGUAGCGAGCGUCCAAAGAAUUUAAACACAUACAUAUUAAUUUGCCUAAUGUUUUUUACCAGGUACACGUAAGGCCUAAAAUAGAUCACAUAGAUUAACACUUUAAUUUAAAGUCGUUUAAUAAUUUUUGAGGUAACGGAAAAAAUUGAUGUAAUCACAAAAAUUGCCUAAUCAAUAUUUAU
Cinara cedri is the source of this 718-nucleotide non-coding RNA. Lineage: Eukaryota; Metazoa; Arthropoda; Insecta; Hemiptera; Aphididae. The record is from the annotation of a GenBank genome assembly.